GAUGAACGCUGGCGGCGUGCCUAAUACAUGCAAGUAGAACGCUGAAGGAAGGAGCUUGCUCUUUCCGGAUGAGUUGCGAACGGGUGAGUAACGCGUAGGUAACCUGCCUGGUAGCGGGGGAUAACUAUUGGAAACGAUAGCUAAUACCGCAUAACAGUAGAUGUUGCAUGAUAUCUACUUAAAAGGUGCAAAUGCACCACUACCAGAUGGACCUGCGUUGUAUUAGCUAGUUGGUGAGGUAACGGCUCACCAAGGCGACGAUACAUAGCCGACCUGAGAGGGUGAUCGGCCACACUGGGACUGAGACACGGCCCAGACUCCUACGGGAGGCAGCAGUAGGGAAUCUUCGGCAAUGGACGGAAGUCUGACCGAGCAACGCCGCGUGAGUGAAGAAGGGUUUCGGAUCGUAAAGCUCUGUUGUAAGAGAAGAACGAGUGUGAGAGUGGAAAGUUCACACUGUGACGGUAUCUUACCAGAAAGGGACGGCUAACUACGUG
RNAcentral lists this ribosomal RNA (497 nucleotides) under uncultured bacterium. RNAcentral's name for it is "partial 16S ribosomal RNA". It matches the Rfam family "Bacterial small subunit ribosomal RNA", at positions 28 to 507 of the family's 1533-position model. The record is from RNAcentral.